Molecule: ribosomal RNA, 464 nt
Filed under: uncultured bacterium
Lineage: Bacteria
Description: partial 16S ribosomal RNA
Rfam family: Bacterial small subunit ribosomal RNA
Source: RNAcentral
CCUACGGGAGGCAGCAGUAGGGAAUUUUCGUCAAUGGGCGCAAGCCUGAACGAGCAAUGCCGCGUGAACGAGGAAGGUCUUCGGAUCGUAAAGUUCUGUUGACGGGGAAAAAGAGCGGAGAGAGGAAAUGCUUUCUGAUUGAUAUUACCCUUCGAGGAAGUCCCGGCUAACUACGUGCCAGCAGCCGCGGUAAUACGUUGGUGGCGAGCGUUAUCCGGAAUGAUUGGGCGUAAAGGGUGCGUAGGCGGCCUGCAAAGUCGGGGGUGAAAGGUACCGGCUCAACCGGGACAGGCUCUGGAAACUGGCGGGCUAGAGAGCAGGAGAGGGCGGUAGAACUCCAGGUGUAGCGGUAAAAGGCGUAGAUAUAUGGAAGAACACCAGUGGCGAAGGCGGCCGCCUGGACUGUGACUGACGCUGAGGCACGAAAGCGUGGGGAGCAAAUAGGAUUAGAUACCCUGGUAGUC